Molecule: ribosomal RNA, 1073 nt
Filed under: Leucobacter chromiiresistens
Lineage: Bacteria; Bacillati; Actinomycetota; Actinomycetes; Micrococcales; Microbacteriaceae
Description: bacterial SSU rRNA
Rfam family: Bacterial small subunit ribosomal RNA
Source: RNAcentral
CGCUGGCGGCGUGCUUAACACAUGCAAGUCGAACGCUGAAGCUCCCAGCUUGCUGGGGGUGGAUGAGUGGCGAACGGGUGAGUAACACGUGAGUAACCUGCCCCGAACUCUGGGAUAAGCGCUGGAAACGGCGUCUAAUACUGGAUAUGUCCUAUCACCGCAUGGUGUGUAGGUGGAAAGAAUUUUGGUUCGGGAUGGACUCGCGGCCUAUCAGCUAGAUGGUGAGGUAAUGGCUCACCAUGGCGACGACGGGUAGCCGGCCUGAGAGGGUGACCGGCCACACUGGGACUGAGACACGGCCCAGACUCCUACGGGAGGCAGCAGUGGGGAAUAUUGCACAAUGGGCGCAAGCCUGAUGCAGCAACGCCGCGUGAGGGAUGACGGCCUUCGGGUUGUAAACCUCUUUUAGUAGGGAAGAAGCGAAAGUGACGGUACCUGCAGAAAAAGCACCGGCUAACUACGUGCCAGCAGCCGCGGUAAUACGUAGGGUGCAAGCGUUGUCCGGAAUUAUUGGGCGUAAAGAGCUCGUAGGCGGCUUGUCGCGUCUGCUGUGAAAACCAGAGGCUCAACCUCUGGCCUGCAGUGGGUACGGGCAAGCUAGAGUGCGGUAGGGGAGAUUGGAAUUCCUGGUGUAGCGGUGGAAUGCGCAGAUAUCAGGAGGAACACCGAUGGCGAAGGCAGAUCUCUGGGCCGUAACUGACGCUGAGGAGCGAAAGCAUGGGGAGCGAACAGGAUUAGAUACCCUGGUAGUCCAUGCCGUAAACGUUGGGAACUAGAUGUAGGGCCUGUUCCACGGGUUCUGUGUCGUAGCUAACGCAUUAAGUUCCCCGCCUGGGGAGUACGGCCGCAAGGCUAAAACUCAAAGGAAUUGACGGGGGCCCGCACAAGCGGCGGAGCAUGCGGAUUAAUUCGAUGCAACGCGAAGAACCUUACCAAGGCUUGACAUAUACGAGAACACUGUAGAGAUACAGGACUCUUUGGACACUCGUAAACAGGUGGUGCAUGGUUGUCGUCAGCUCGUGUCGUGAGAUGUUCGGUUAAGUCCGGCAACGAGCGCAACCCUCGUCCUAUGU